AAAAGAGUGGCGAACGGGUGAGUAACACGUGGGUAACCUGCCCAUCAGAAGGGGAUAACACUUGGAAACAGGUGCUAAUACCGUAUAACACUAUUUUCCGCAUGGAAGAAAGUUGAAAGGCGCUUUUGCGUCACUGAUGGAUGGACCCGCGGUGCAUUAGCUAGUUGGUGAGGUAACGGCUCACCAAGGCAACGAUGCAUAGCCGACCUGAGAGGGUGAUCGGCCACACUGGGACUGAGACACGGCCCAGACUCCUACGGGAGGCAGCAGUAGGGAAUCUUCGGCAAUGGACGAAAGUCUGACCGAGCAACGCCGCGUGAGUGAAG
This 326-nucleotide ribosomal RNA is filed under the name Enterococcus casseliflavus. RNAcentral's name for it is "bacterial SSU rRNA". It matches the Rfam family "Bacterial small subunit ribosomal RNA", at positions 89 to 410 of the family's 1533-position model. The record is from RNAcentral. Lineage: Bacteria; Bacillati; Bacillota; Bacilli; Lactobacillales; Enterococcaceae.